AUUGAACGCUGGCGGAAUGCUUUACACAUGCAAGUCGAACGGCAGCACGGACUUCGGUCUGGUGGCGAGUGGCGAACGGGUGAGUAAUAUAUCGGAACGUAUCUAAUAAUGGGGGAUAACUAAUCGAAAAGUUGGCUAAUACCGCAUACGUCCUACGGGAGAAAGCUAGGGACCUUCGGGCCUGGCGUUAAUGGCACGGCCGAUAUCGGAUUAGCUCGUUGGUGAGGUAAAGGCUCACCAAGGCGACGAUCCGUAGCUGGUCUGAGAGGACGACCAGCCACACUGGAACUGAGACACGGUCCAGACUCCUACGGGAGGCAGCAGUGGGGAAUUUUGGACAAUGGGCGAAAGCCUGAUCCAGCCAUUCCGCGUGAGUGAAGAAGGCCUUCGGGUUGUAAAGCUCUUUCGCAAGAGAAGAAAACUUACCCUCUAACAUAGGGUGAGGUUGACGGUAUCUUGAUAAGAAGCACCGGCUAACUACGUGCCAGCAGCCGCCGUAA
Molecule: ribosomal RNA, 500 nt
Filed under: uncultured bacterium
Lineage: Bacteria
Description: partial 16S ribosomal RNA
Rfam family: Bacterial small subunit ribosomal RNA
Source: RNAcentral